CGCGUAGGCGGAUGGUACAGUCAGACGUGAAAUUCCUGGGCUCAACCUGGGGGCUGCGUUUGAUACGUGCUGUCUGGAGUUCGGAAGAGGGUCGUGGAAUUCCCAGUGUAGAGGUGAAAUUCGUAGAUAUUGGGAAGAACACCGGUGGCGAAGGCGGCGACCUGGUCCGAUACUGACGCUGAGGCGCGAAAGCGUGGGGAGCAAACA
This 207-nucleotide ribosomal RNA is filed under the name uncultured bacterium. RNAcentral's name for it is "partial 16S ribosomal RNA". It matches the Rfam family "Bacterial small subunit ribosomal RNA", at positions 568 to 774 of the family's 1533-position model. The record is from RNAcentral.